This 147-nucleotide non-coding RNA is filed under the name chicken gut metagenome. Its description in RNAcentral is "glmS glucosamine-6-phosphate activated ribozyme". It matches the Rfam family "glmS glucosamine-6-phosphate activated ribozyme aptamer", at positions 11 to 153 of the family's 167-position model. From Rfam's summary of the family: This entry contains a glucosamine-6-phosphate activated ribozyme that is found in the mRNA for GlmS. GlmS is an enzyme that uses fructose-6-phosphate and glutamine to generate glucosamine-6-phosphate. The record is from RNAcentral.
AAAUCAAGCGCCAGAACUAAUAAUAUAUAUAUUAAUAGAAAUAGUUGACGAGGUCUAGAGUUUAUCGAAUUUUUCGGCGGAUGCUCUAGUGGAUUGCUUAGUCCAAAGCAUUAAACAAAAAAUAGUAGAAAUAUUAUAACAGAUAUU